This 1559-nucleotide long non-coding RNA is filed under the name Marmota monax (woodchuck). The record is from RNAcentral. Lineage: Eukaryota; Metazoa; Chordata; Mammalia; Rodentia; Sciuridae.
GUUUCUCUUCCUUUUCUUUCCUGACAAGCAGGUUUUUCUUCACUUGUCAAGGUGGGAGUUGAGAGUGUGGGGAAAAAAUUUAGCGUUCAGUUGAAAAUUGGUUGAUCAUGUGAUGCUGUUACUAUAAUCUGAAAAUUUGAGUGCCCCUUGGUAGUCUCAGUCAUAAACUCAUGAUACAGUUUUCCACAGAUUUUCCUUUGUAGUUAGGAGCUCAAAAAAAUAAAAAUGUUAUCUACUUAUACUAUUGGAUAGUUUAGCCCUUGGGCAUAAUACCUUAGAUAAGCAAAUUAUGAGCUAAGCAAAACAAACUUUCUGAACAAAACACCAUUUUGGUGGCUUUUAGUACAUGGAUUUGAUUAGCGCAUAUUCCGAGAAUACCUGUUCUUUCCACAUAUUUUUUCAUGAAAUAUCAGGAAGCAUUUUUUUAAUAUAUAUAACGUAUCUACUUUACCUGCCAAUAGGUAUUAAAUUUGCCAUGAAUUCCUUCAGCUCAUCCCAAGUAGAGAAUAACCCAGCCCUCAAGGGAGAAAAUUCAAUCCUAACAAGUACGAUAGUGAGGAAAUGGGCAAACUCAAAGCAGAACUGCAUUGAACUGGUCAAACUAAUUCACAUGGUAGACUACUUUUUAGACAGCUAGUUUCUCUAAAUCCUCUUCUAAAGAAAAACCAUGGACAGCUUAAAUGAAAACUAGGUUUUUGAAAUGAUUAACAUUUGUUAUAUUUUGAAGCCUCAAGCAAGAUAGAAGGUCUUAGAAUCUCUGAUUUAAUUGUCUCUUUUUACUCGUUGGGUCUCUCUUUAUUUUAGCCUCAUGGAAUGGCAUGAGUUAACAAAAAGAAACCUUACUCUUCAACAAGUUUGGCCUUUGGAUCAAUUGAAAUUACUAAGAUCUCUUCAGGAAUUCAAAGCUACAUUGAUACUCAUAGAGCCUCAUUGAUAAAUCUGAGCUUUUUAAAAACAGUUUAGACCUCUUAUGUUAAGUAGCUUACUUGUCCAAUAUAAAGAUAUCAUUCCAACAGUCAAGUUAAACCUUAGCAGAGUAGCAAAGGUUGCAUCUUUACAUCUUUGCCCCCCAAAAUUUUAGUCUCCUUGUAACUUAAUUCUUUUUGACAGUGUCUCAUAAUUAUCCUCGUGUUCAUGGUCUUUUCUUAGCUAUUUGCUCCCACUUUUUCUUAUCUUUAGUUGUAGCAAUAUCACAACUUAUUUUUAUGAGGGGGUAUUGCUUUAACACUAAAAGCUAACAAAAUACCUUGACACCAAAUGAUUAACCAGAAAAUGAAAAAACUAGUAGAAAAAGGCAAAGUUUUAUGUGCUAUAUACCUUGAUCACUGGUGUUUGGUCAGUGGUUUGAUCAAACUAGUGCUUAUCAAUAGAAGUAAUAGAUUAUAUCCUAAAUAGUAAUGUUUCAAGUUUUCUUAAAAAUGUGGAAGAAUACCAACAGACAUUCCAUAAAUGUAUAUCCAUGCCACGUAUCAGCCAGUUCAUUUAUACAUGUUUUAUCUUGAAGGCUCCCUAAUUAAAAUGGAGAUAAUUAACCUGAAAGAGUUCGUAUAGUGGUUGAU